CCUCCGCCGCCACCCCGACACACGGCGACGCCGGAGACGGCCGAGGGGAGAGGCCCCGCCGCCCCCCUGCAGCCGGCCUCGCUGGUGCCCCGCAUUCCUCACAGCGGCGCCCACGAGGCGGCCAUCUUGCUUCCUGCCGCAGCGGCGCCCUCCUCCAGGCGGCGUCGCGGGCGCGAGCCUCGUGCGGCUCCGCGGCGCGCCCCCGGCCGGCGGGCGCGCCCCCGCCGCCAGGAGCCGCCGGACGGUCCCAGCCAAUGGGGCGGCCGCGGCCCGCGGCUGGCGCUCCCCGCCCCACCGGCCUCCUCCCGCGCUCCCGCCGGCCCUGCCCAAACAAAGGGUCUCCUGUGCGGGGCGCCGCGGCGGCCGCCGGCAAGAGGCGGCACGGACUCCCCGCGCGUGCGGACGCGGAGCCGCCGCCGCCGCCGCCGCCACGCGCGCGCGGUGGAGCAUCGAACAGAAAGCGUCUGCUGCAAACGGACCGCAGCGUGAACAGGCCGCCAGAUAAACAAUAAAACGCAAUUAAUUUCCCCUCGCCUCCGCCCGCUUAAAACAUUCGCCCGGGUGGAAGAAGGAUGGAGGGGGCGCAGCUCCACCGCAAGUUUUCACACGGAGCCCUAAUGGAUCACGCAGACGCCUGCUAACCGUGGGCAACAAACAAAUAACGACGUCUCUAACGCGCCGCUAGCCACUGAAGCAUUUACUGAAACAAUUUCCAGUUGACAUCUGAACCAGAAAGCUGGCCGUGGAUUUACGCGCUACACAUGAAAAACCUGCAAGAAUGUCUUUUCAGCAGCUACAGAGUGCAACUUAAAACUGUUUUCUUUAUCUACUGCUAAAUUACAAGUGUAAUUCCCGUCCGGUUAUCGGUGCAAAUCAGUUAAGUACCGCAAAUGCGCGGAUGGGAACACACAACUCAUUCUGCGGCGUUAUCAAUUAAGUCAGAGAAAGCUGUUGCUCGUUUUUGUGGUCUGAUGCUACCUCGUAUUUAAGCUCCUCAUUUGUUGCACCACAGGACUUUAUUAAAUAGGAGUUAGGAUCAGGUAAGAGAAAAGUACUGAUUUGUAAUGUUUUCCCAAAAUACCACAAGUCUACAAGGGUCUUUAAGCGUAAUAAAACCCAAGAGAGGUA
This is a long non-coding RNA of Aquila chrysaetos chrysaetos, 1128 nucleotides long. RefSeq lists it as uncharacterized. The record is from RefSeq and is a predicted model, not a curated record. Lineage: Eukaryota; Metazoa; Chordata; Aves; Accipitriformes; Accipitridae. The transcript is spliced from 2 exons.